UUAUGAUUAGGUAUAAAAGAAUCACGUAAGGAUUACUUGAAGCAAACCCAUCAUCUCACGUUAGGAAUUCAAACCCCAAAACUUUAAGCUUUCAUCUUACCUUUAGUUUUUUUUUUUUUUUUUAAUUUGCAUAUAAAUUAAUUUCUACUUUUCGUUACUUUUAUUUUGGUAUAGAAGAUUCGUGAUUAUAAAUUUUAAAAACUUAAGUUUUAUAAAGUAGAUUUUGUUAAGAAUAAU
RNAcentral lists this long non-coding RNA (237 nucleotides) under Gossypium barbadense (sea-island cotton). Its description in RNAcentral is "long non-coding RNA (GBAR_LNC010857)". The record is from RNAcentral. Lineage: Eukaryota; Viridiplantae; Streptophyta; Magnoliopsida; Malvales; Malvaceae.